This is a long non-coding RNA of Vidua macroura (Pin-tailed whydah), 508 nucleotides long. RefSeq lists it as uncharacterized. The record is from RefSeq and is a predicted model, not a curated record. The transcript has 3 exons. Lineage: Eukaryota; Metazoa; Chordata; Aves; Passeriformes; Viduidae.
GUCAAGCUCUAUUCUUGGCCACUUGUCAAAAGGUCAUCAUUUAAUUUUUCUACAGGAAUGUUAAGUCAACCCCUAAGUGAAUCUCAAACUGAACACUCUGCUUUUUCUGACUGCAUCAGCUGGAAUGACAUCAAGACAGUCCAUCAGAGGGUCUUUCCAUUGUGGUCAUCAGGCAACCCUGCUCCUCUCUGUGUGAAUUUAUGCUGAACCAUGCCUAGCGUGAUGUCAAUGAUGUGGUUGGUGCUCUCUGAGAUCACUGCUUCUCUGGUGAAGGGGAGGGCAGGAGGUCAGCCCUGCCAGCCCAGCCUGAGGAAUGCCUCUGUGCUGGCUCUAAUUGUGCUCCUGUGGUGAGGAGCUCAGAAAUGAGAGACUAAACAACUGCACUAAGCUGCUGCGCUGGGAGGACUACUGGGAGGUUUUUCACAUGGUAGCCUGUUCAACAAAGGCCCUAAAUAUACCCACGCUGGGGCAUGGCUGUCAUUCUGACCCAGGCUAUUUGUUUCCUUCU